RNAcentral lists this ribosomal RNA (253 nucleotides) under uncultured bacterium. RNAcentral describes it as "partial 16S ribosomal RNA". It matches the Rfam family "Bacterial small subunit ribosomal RNA", at positions 524 to 776 of the family's 1533-position model. The record is from RNAcentral.
UACGUAGGUGGCAAGCGUUGUCCGGAAUUAUUGGGCGUAAAGAGCUUGUAGGCGGUCUGUCGCGUCUGCUGUGAAAAUCCGGGGCUCAACCCCGGACUUGCAGUGGGUACGGGCAGACUAGAGUGUGGUAGGGGAGACUGGAAUUCCUGGUGUAGCGGUGAAAUGCGCAGAUAUCAGGAGGAACACCGAUGGCGAAGGCAGGUCUCUGGGCCACUACUGACGCUGAGAAGCGAAAGCAUGGGGAGCGAACAGG